Long non-coding RNA from Suricata suricatta (meerkat), 658 nucleotides. RefSeq lists it as uncharacterized. The record is from RefSeq and is a predicted model, not a curated record. The transcript is spliced from 4 exons. NCBI's taxonomy places the organism in Eukaryota, Metazoa, Chordata, Mammalia, Carnivora, Herpestidae.
AUAAACCUUGGCAGCAGAGAAGCUGGAAGAAAGCAUCACGUCACUCCAAAUCUGUGGCGAUCACUAUGAUGACAAUGAAACCCAGAGAAGACAGUAACUGGUCAAGGUCAUUCUUCUGGUUAGUCAACCCAGCCCAGUUGCCAUGGGAAAGCAUAUGUUAGCUGCCGAAAACCUAAAACAGAUCUUGGAUGUUAAGCAGGUCCAUGCCAGGUCAGGAAUGGCUUCCCCUGAGGAGGAUCUUCACUCUGGGACCAGAGUAGCAGAACAGCCCAUUUGGGACCUUCCUGGUUGAUGCAGAAGUAGAGAGGUCACGACAAAGCAAAUACUGGCUCAUAAAGCUUCUGCUUGGAAGGCAUAGGUUUAGCCUGUGUCCAAGGACCAGAAAAUAUGAUUGUUCAGAAAGAAGGGGUUGUCUGAAGAGAAAGGCAGCAAGUAAUUUGAACAAGAAUAUAGUCCAUCACAGUGAUGUGGGUGAAAGUUCUUAGUUUUCAGUGGAACACCAUCAAAUGCAAAUUGUUCUUUCUGUCCAUGUUAGUGCUUAACAGAAUAACCAUUUUAGAGUUGUCAAUCAAUGUAGUCCCUGUGCCAGAUAUAAUGAUGAUUUUCCUGGGCGCCUGGGUGGCUCAAUUAAUUAAAUGUCCCACUUUUGAUUUUGGCU